AGAUCAAUCAAUAUACAUCCCCAUCAACUCAAAUUAAAUUGAAACCUCUCAACUGAAUCUUUCUACUCCCACCAUAAUCGGUCACAUAUCUCCACUCCUAUCAAAUUUGAUAAACCUAGAUGCAUCUUGUUAUUUUUCCACCGCCCCCACUAAAAAAGAUUAACGAAAUUCAGAUACGAAGUUGCAUCUCUUCCCAAAAGAGAGCGCAGAGAAGAUGAUGUUGGAUACAAUAAUUUUAUCCACACAUAAAACCAUAUUUUUUAAUCGAUGUUUAGACGAUAUUUUUUAUUUAAUUUUGAUUUUGACCGGUAAUCUCAGUUGCUUCAAUUUUUUAAUCGAUGUUUAGACGAUAUUUUUUAUUUAAUUUUAUACGGUUUUCAGUUUGUUCUCAAUGGCUAAAAGACGUUGUAUUUUGAAAUCACCGGCGACUGACAGCGCAGAAACUUUUGGAAUGCAGGUAACAAGUGUCCAAAGGGAGGAAGCAAUUAGUAUGAGACUGGAGAUGACGAUGGUGAAAAUUUGCAGCAAAGACAAAAGGACAUAAAAUGACUAUAUUUCAAGAAUUCUCUUGAAAAUUUUGCGAGCCUGAUUGCAACAAUUUGAAAAUAUGUUUCCUAAUUUUAAUGGAAUAUGCUCUGAUUGAAACACCCGGGGAUGGCUCAAACCAAUGAUUUAGAGUUUUAUAGACUACGUGUCUAAUGUCACCGAGUAUAAUUGUAAUUUUGUAGUGGAAUCGUGAUAUUUUUAUGAUCCAUUAUUUUGGACUAGUAGAAUGUCUUUUAA
Long non-coding RNA from Salvia splendens (bonfire salvia), 783 nucleotides. RefSeq lists it as uncharacterized. The transcript has 2 exons. Lineage: Eukaryota; Viridiplantae; Streptophyta; Magnoliopsida; Lamiales; Lamiaceae. The record is from RefSeq and is a predicted model, not a curated record.